Molecule: ribosomal RNA, 492 nt
Filed under: uncultured bacterium
Lineage: Bacteria
Description: partial 16S ribosomal RNA
Rfam family: Bacterial small subunit ribosomal RNA
Source: RNAcentral
GAUGAACGCUAGCUACAGGCUUAACACAUGCAAGUCGAGGGGAAACGACAUCGAAAGCUUGCUUUUGAUGGGCGUCGACCGGCGCACGGGUGAGUAACGCGUAUCCAACCUGCCCACCACUUGGGGAUAACCUUGCGAAAGUAAGACUAAUACCCAAUGACGUCUCUAGAAGACAUCUGAAAGAGAUUAAAGAUUUAUCGGUGAUGGAUGGGGAUGCGUCUGAUUAGCUUGUUGGCGGGGUAACGGCCCACCAAGGCGACGAUCAGUAGGGGUUCUGAGAGGAAGGUCCCCCACAUUGGAACUGAGACACGGUCCAAACUCCUACGGGAGGCAGCAGUGAGGAAUAUUGGUCAAUGGACGAGAGUCUGAACCAGCCAAGUAGCGUGCAGGAUGACGGCCCUAUGGGUUGUAAACUGCUUUUACAAGGGAAUAAAGUGAGUCUCGUGAGACUUUUUGCAUGUACCUUAUGAAUAAGGACCGGCUAAUUCCGUG